Zingiber officinale is the source of this 274-nucleotide long non-coding RNA. RefSeq lists it as uncharacterized. The transcript is spliced from 3 exons. The record is from RefSeq and is a predicted model, not a curated record. Lineage: Eukaryota; Viridiplantae; Streptophyta; Magnoliopsida; Zingiberales; Zingiberaceae.
ACGUUAGUUAUCUGCCAAUGGGGUUUUGAUGAUGAAGCAAACCAUCUGUUAAUGCAUCGGAAUUUACCUGCUGUUAGAUGGGUUGGUGGUGUUGAAUUGGAGUUGAUUGCUAUAGCUACAGGUGGGAGAAUAGUUCCAAGAUUCCAGGAGUUGACUUCACAAAAAUUAGGGAAGGCUGGAUUAGUUAGAGAGAAAUCAUUUGGAACUACCAAAGAUCGAAUGUUAUAUAUUGAGCAUUGUGCUAACUCCAGAGCUGUAACCAUUUUCAUUCAUG